AUACGUAGGUGGCAAGCGUUAUCCGGAAUUAUUGGGCGUAAAGCGCGCGUAGGCGGUUUUUUAAGUCUGAUGUGAAAGCCCACGGCUCAACCGUGGAGGGUCAUUGGAAACUGGAAAACUUGAGUGCAGAAGAGGAAAGUGGAAUUCCAUGUGUAGCGGUGAAAUGCGCAGAGAUAUGGAGGAACACCAGUGGCGAAGGCGACUUUCUGGUCUGUAACUGACGCUGAUGUGCGAAAGCGUGGGGAUCAAACAGGAUUAGAUACCCUGGUAGUCCACGCCGUAAACGAUGAGUGCUAGGUGUUAGGGGGUUUCCGCCCCUUAGUGCUGCAGCUAACGCAUUAAGCACUCCGCCUGGGGAGUACGACCGCAAGGUUGAAACUCAAAUGAAUUGACGGGG
This 397-nucleotide ribosomal RNA is filed under the name uncultured bacterium. Its description in RNAcentral is "partial 16S ribosomal RNA". It matches the Rfam family "Bacterial small subunit ribosomal RNA", at positions 523 to 918 of the family's 1533-position model. The record is from RNAcentral.